Molecule: non-coding RNA, 78 nt
Organism: Podarcis lilfordi (Lilford's wall lizard)
Lineage: Eukaryota; Metazoa; Chordata; Lepidosauria; Squamata; Lacertidae
Source: the annotation of a GenBank genome assembly
AGUGUAGUGGAGCAAUGGGUCAGUGUGUCUGGCUAUUAACCAGAAGGCUGGUGGUUUGAGUCCACCAAAGGAUGACUG